UCAUGUUUUUCUUUACUCUUCCAACGUUUCAUGUCGAAGGGGGGAAAAACGAUACUUUAUAUAUUACUAUCACAUUAAAGAAAAUAAUACUGCAGCAUUAAGAACAUAUCUCCUUCUUCUUCGUUAUCACAUAAAUUUGACAGACGUUCGUAUAUAUAGUGCUAAGUACAACCAAACCAACGCAAGGAACACGUCAAUGACAACUUCAAAAAGAGUUGCAAUGAAGAAAGUGGCUAAGUUUGAGAAGAACAUCACAAAGAGGGGAAUAUUGCAAAAUCAUAGAGGCAACAAAGGAUUAGAGCCAAUUCAUGUUUUUCUUGUCCUCUUUGCUGUUUUAUUCGUUGGAUCUUUUAUUUUCCAGGUUGUGAUGAUGGCACUUAAUGGUGGAUUGCUACCAAGAUAGAUGGAAGCUUUUAGUUUUUCCAGGAAAAUAAAAGAAUAAUUUAAAUCAGAAACUUUAUGAGCUUAUUAGAGAAAUUAAACUAGCUUUUUUGCUACUUAGGAGAGGUUUUAGUAUAAAAAUAUGAAGGGAAAAGCUUUAUUUGCACUCGAUAUUUGCUUCAGACGAAUAAAUACAAGUGUUGCACAUAAACAUUUGUAACUUAUUCAUAGUUACAUAUUGCAUCUUCCCACUUUAAUU
Long non-coding RNA from Lycium ferocissimum, 640 nucleotides. RefSeq lists it as uncharacterized. The record is from RefSeq and is a predicted model, not a curated record. The transcript is spliced from 3 exons. NCBI's taxonomy places the organism in Eukaryota, Viridiplantae, Streptophyta, Magnoliopsida, Solanales, Solanaceae.